RNAcentral lists this long non-coding RNA (342 nucleotides) under Sorghum bicolor (sorghum). RNAcentral's name for it is "long non-coding RNA (SBIC_LNC006786)". Lineage: Eukaryota; Viridiplantae; Streptophyta; Magnoliopsida; Poales; Poaceae. The record is from RNAcentral.
AUGAACCUGAUUAACUAAGCAAACUAUUUUAAAUAGUUGAAAGGAAAAAGGAUAACUACCACGUUUACCUCUUGGCAAGACGUUCGGUGUUUUUAAGUCCUCCGAACGGGACUCUCCGUUUUCUCAGUCGUCCUGGGAUUCGCUGGAUGGCGUAGUCGGUGGUUCCGGCGGCUAUAACUAUCUUCUCUUUCCACAUCUGACUCGGUGCUUGUUGGGUAUUUUAAACGCAAACAUAAAAAUCUGCAAGCGCACGGAUACCGAUGUAGCUUUCACCCGGAAGUAUUCCAGAGUAUCGAUUUUCCACAGGGAACGUGAGUGUACUAAUUAAGAUUCAAGAUCGCC